UGCGAGUGAAGAGGGAAAAGCUCAAAUUUAAAAUCUGGCGGCAUUCUGUCGUCCGAGUUGUAAUCUAGAGAAGUGUUACCCGCGCCGGACCGUGUAUAAGUCUCCUGGAAUGGAGCGUCAUAGAGGGUGAGAAUCCCGUCUUCGACACGGAUCCCCGGGGCUUUGUGGUGCGCUCUCAACGAGUCGAGUUGUUUGGGAAUGCAGCUCAAAAUGGGUGGUAAAUUCCAUCUAAAGCUAAAUAUUGGCGAGAGACCGAUAGCGAACAAGUACCGUGAGGGAAA
This 281-nucleotide ribosomal RNA is filed under the name Parasola psathyrelloides. RNAcentral describes it as "partial large subunit ribosomal RNA". It matches the Rfam family "Eukaryotic large subunit ribosomal RNA", at positions 88 to 362 of the family's 3401-position model. Lineage: Eukaryota; Fungi; Basidiomycota; Agaricomycetes; Agaricales; Psathyrellaceae. The record is from RNAcentral.